CGGCGGGGCCUGCUCGCCGCACCCCCCGGGCACACACAUGGUAGCUAGAAUAUCAGUGGUUUGGCCUCGCCGCAGCAGCGGAUGGAAGCACAUUCAAUCAAUAUUCUGCCAUAAAGAAGAAAGCAGAGGAAAGAUGAAAUCUAAUGAUGCUUGGUUUUAAUAGCACCAAUAUCCUUUUUCAAGCUCUCAUUGUCUCAGACAGCACAGAUUUGAGAAAAUAAUCCGGAUGAGAGCUUGAUCGAAUUGAUAUCAAAGAAGAAAAUUCAGAGUUACUUGAAAAGCUACGUUCUACAGCCUGACAUACGCAGGCUGCAUCUCGGUUUUUCAGCAGAUUUUAUCACAACAAAUAAACAUAUUUUA
Hemicordylus capensis (graceful crag lizard) is the source of this 360-nucleotide long non-coding RNA. RefSeq lists it as uncharacterized. The record is from RefSeq and is a predicted model, not a curated record. The transcript is spliced from 3 exons. NCBI's taxonomy places the organism in Eukaryota, Metazoa, Chordata, Lepidosauria, Squamata, Cordylidae.